RNAcentral lists this long non-coding RNA (631 nucleotides) under Gossypium barbadense (sea-island cotton). RNAcentral describes it as "long non-coding RNA (GBAR_LNC011900)". The record is from RNAcentral. Lineage: Eukaryota; Viridiplantae; Streptophyta; Magnoliopsida; Malvales; Malvaceae.
UUUGGUUUCAUUUCUUGGUCAUUCUCAACCAGCUCUUUUUCUUCGGAUCUUUUUGAAUCCACAAACGGUACAUCUUCUCGAGCUCUUUUCAUGAUCACCACUUGAGCUUCAGUGAAAACUUGAAGCAGUUCUGAAGGAGUAGCCGCUGGAUCAAGUUUCAAACAGCCCUUACAAGACUUUAGACCUUCUUGACCUGUUACCAAAUAAGACGGAACCUGGUGAGAGAAAUGAAAAAACUCUUCCCUCGGAAUCGCCCAGGUUUUACUUCGUUCCGAAUGCCUGCGGAACACUGUCUUUAAACCUGGAAGAUUCAAGUUGAUACAAAGUCUGGAGUACUUGAACUGCAUCUUACAGGAACUGCAGGUUGUCCAAAAUGUAUCAGUUCUUGUUGAGCAAGGAGGAGCAGAAUUGGAAUAAGUAGCACCGUGCUGAUCACCGAUGUUUGAGUUUUUAACACUGUAGGAAUUAUGGAAACCAUUAGAGCUUGUUGUUGCCAUUGAUGAUUUCCCAUGUAGAACAUUCGUAAAGCUACCCCUUAAGUUCAGCUUCUGGUCAUAAGAAAAUCUUCUUGCUUUAUCAGACAACAAACUCCAAGCUUCUAAUAGAAGUUUGAAAGCUCCUGCACCUGCGA